Macaca mulatta (Rhesus monkey) is the source of this 2637-nucleotide non-coding RNA. NCBI's taxonomy places the organism in Eukaryota, Metazoa, Chordata, Mammalia, Primates, Cercopithecidae. The record is from RefSeq and is a predicted model, not a curated record.
CGGGGGAGUGGUGUCAGACGGCGUGUGCACAGCCCAGGAGACAGGGAUACUCUUGUAGCGGAAAAGGCCCUCAAAGUGGUUGGGGCAGCUGGCGGACACGUUGAGGACGGCGGUGAUGCCACACGCCUGCAGCCCCUGCAGGUCUGACGAAUGACUGCAGCUGCCCAGGAACAGAAUUUUCCUCUUAGAAAUUUGUCACCGCAAACAUUGACAAAUGCCUGCUGCCACGGGUGAGUUCUACACUGGAUGAUGGGGAGGUCCCUGCUGAGAUGUCCUGUUGCUCAUAUAUUUGGAGACCUUGGGCCAGAGGGACUUUCUCUCUCCCCCUCCCCACCCCCCAUUGCCUGGAUGAGACCAGCACUCAGCGUCUUGCAGUAGGUUGGUGGCCAAGCUAGGCCCGAACACAGUCCCCGGGACCCAGGCCCCUGGGCUUGGGCCGAAGGAAAUGAGGGGGUCCUGGGGCCUUUCGUGGGGAAAGUAGGGGUCUGAGACCGGCUUCCAGUUAAGAGUGGGGCAAAGCUUCUUCCUCCUGGGCGCAGGGAAAGCCCCCAGGCCCCGGAGAGAAGCACUUCCCGCUGUCACAAGCCCGCCCUGGAGGGAAGUCCGCUGACGCUCCUAGCCCUCCCCAGGCCUGCGGGGAUUUCAGGACCUUGGCAAGGGGAAGAGGGAGAAGCAGAACAGAACUGGCCUCCCCCAUCCUAGGCCUCCCUGUCCAGCCCCCCUGGGCAGCAAAGUCCAGGGCUAGCACUGCACCCGGAGGACUGGGGGCCUGGGUGUCCCCUCCAUCCUGCCCUCCCCCAGCCCUGCUGCCGGAUGUGGUGAGGCCCAGGUGUGCGUGGGGUGUCUGAGCCACAAGAAUUGUUGGCAGUGAACUCCCAAACUCAAGCAGAGAAGUUCAGGUGGGUGGAGACAGUGUUACUGAACUGGAGCUGCCCUCGCCCUGCCCCCAGCUGCGUGGGAUUUCAGAACCCACCCUCCAAGCCCCCAGUCUCCUGAGGCCCUCCUCCACCUCCUCUGAAAGACCCUUCCAGUUCUCCGGCAGACCCCUGUGUCCACGCCAUCUUAAAGAGUGACAGCUGGGACCUGCGUGGAGCCCCCAGCCCUUCUGGACUCGUCUGCUCUGAGCUCCUCACAGCAGUGUGCUGUGUGCCUGGCUGUGUGCACGGGAGCGUGGUACCUGUGCAGUUCCACUACGUGUGAGAAGGACCUGGAGCUUGUGUGUGCUGGGGUCAGAGCAGAUGCAGAGGAGAAAACCCCAAGGACUCCAAAGGUCCCUGGGGCCACGUCACCGUCUCAGUGUCUCCAUCUGUAAGGGGGAGCACAUCAUGGCGCAGCGGCCCUUCCACACUGGUUCCAAGGCUCUAAGGCUACCCCACUGUCUGCGCAAUUGGCUGAGGCCCUGCCCUCCCUGGCAAGCCAGUCUGGAGGCUGAGGUGGCAAAGUCCACAACAGAGCCGGGGAGUCUGGGCCACAGAUCCCAGAGGCUGAUAGGAGCCCUUAUCAUUGGCAUCGGCCUCCAAAUGACUUAAUGCUGAUUCCAGGGGCAAAUUACAGAGCGUGCAGGACAAUCAGGUCCAGUCUUGCUUCUGGGCUGGGAGCCACAGCCUUCCAGCUCCGUGAGAGGACCCCAGCCAGGUGGGAUCCCUGAUUCAGAAGUGAACUCAGCUCAGCCGUGUAAGGGGCUCCAGACCCCAACUCCUAUGCUGAGCUGGGCCUCUUCCCCUCCUGGAGAACCCGGUAUACCUUGCCGGGGAGUUCCACGUGUGGGGAGAGCAUUGCUGAAGGUUUGCUCUGAUAGCGCAGUCCCUGGGACCUGGCACUCCUGGCCACGACCAGUGGUCUCUUUUUCUUUUUAAGUGACAGGAUCUUGUUAUGUUGCCUACACUGGCCUCAAACUCCUGAGCUCAAAUGAUCCUCCUGCCUCAGCCUCCAGAGUAGCUGGGACUAUAGGCACCUGCCACCACCCAGCUCAGGACUGGUGAUGGCUGCCUAACGUGGCUGCACCUGUGUCACCCCCUUGAGGCCAUUUGCCUUGGGGCUGUCCCCUUUUCAGCUCUGGAACGUGGACUCACGGAGGCCCAGCUUAGCCACGAAGGAGGGCCUUCCUUUACCUUCUUUCCCUACUCCCAAACUGGGGAAAACCCCACCCCCAAUUACUGGGUGAAAGCCCAGGGCUGGGGUAAGAAGAGGGGGAGAGACUCACAAACCCAUGUCCCUCUCCCGCUUUUGCUCUGACAAAAGCCCCCCAAGCCUUGGGUGCUGCCGCUGGCGAUCAUGUGCAGGACGCCUGCUCCUCUCCACCACCCCCUCAGAGUCUCCCCAACCACCGUUCGCCAGAGCCCAGCCUUGGGAGCCACAGCAGAGAGGAGGCAGGGCAUUGGGUGUAAGGGUGAGGACGCGGUGAGGAGGGGUCUCUGCUAGGCUGGAUGCCCCGCGGCCUGAAGGCUCUGGAAGCAGGACCCGGUCCUCGCCACCGGAUGGAAAGGGGCUGACCCAGGUUGGGAGUCCCUGCUCAGAGCUCUCUCUGUUUUUGUUUUUCUCGGCCUGGCUCUUACAGAGCAGACACUGUCAAGUAAGUUUGGACUCAGCACUUUUUUAAAAAUUGAAAACCUGUGAGACUCACCAGGAACAAAUGAU